CAUUCUUCAUAAGAGAAGUCAUGCAUAUUCUCGCGUACCUUUGUUUGUUAUACUUUGUGUUUUAUUAUAUUACUGAUAAAACAAUAUUCGUUACCUGUGGUACUGAGCUUAUUAAUGAGGAUGGUUAUGUUGAAUUACUAACUGAACUAAGGGAGAGGUUCCCGGAAUAUUGGGUUCUAAGCGGCGCUUACAAACCAUCUAUUGCCCAACAUCUAUUCGUCGUCUCUCUUCUCUUAAUCUCCAAGUUUUAUGGUUUCAAAAAAAUAUUUUAUUCUUUCUAUAGAAUGGAAAGAAGGUCGAUCUUCAGAACAUUGCUAUGGAUAAGUGCACUGCUCGUAUUAUUAAUCCUUCUUAUAAUAACGUACAUUAUACAGGUCGAUGUUUUUGGAGUAACUUUAGAAGGACAGAUGAUCUAUUUAAAGCACACUCCUCAAGAAAUCCCAAGAGUUGGCGACUUGAUACAAAUAAUUCAGGAAAAAAUAGAGAACUCAACUAGUCCUGCAAUUACUCCUAUUGUUUUACAUUUAGGUUUUUAUAUUUUAUUAAACCAAUCAAAAAAAAUGUAGGAAACCGUCGGAGAUAAAAAGAAAGAAAAAUGAAAUAAAUAACUUUAAAAUAAAUAA
Drosophila ficusphila is the source of this 623-nucleotide long non-coding RNA. RefSeq lists it as uncharacterized. The record is from RefSeq and is a predicted model, not a curated record. NCBI's taxonomy places the organism in Eukaryota, Metazoa, Arthropoda, Insecta, Diptera, Drosophilidae. The transcript is spliced from 3 exons.